GAUGAACGCUGGCGGCGUGCCUAAUACAUGCAAGUCGAGCGAACAGACGAGGAGCUUGCUCCUCUGACGUUAGCGGCGGACGGGUGAGUAACACGUGGAUAACCUACCUAUAAGACUGGGAUAACUUCGGGAAACCGGAGCUAAUACCGGAUAAUAUAUUGAACCGCAUGGUUCAAUAGUGAAAGACGGUUUUGCUGUCACUUAUUGAUGGAUCCGCGCCGCAUUAGCUAGUUGGUAAGGUAACGGCUUACCAAGGCAACGAUGCGUAGCCGACCUGAGAGGGUGAUCGGCCACGCUGGAACUGAGACACGGUCCAGACUCCUACGGGAGGCAGCAGUAGGGAAUCUUCCGCAAUGGGCGAAAGCCUAACGGAGCAACGCCGCGUGAGUGAUGAAGGUCUUCGGAUCGUAAAACUCUGUUAUUAGGGAAGAACAAAUGUGUAAGUAACUAUGCGCGUCUUGACGGUACCUAAUCAGAAAGCCACGGCUAACUACGUG
RNAcentral lists this ribosomal RNA (497 nucleotides) under uncultured bacterium. RNAcentral describes it as "partial 16S ribosomal RNA". It matches the Rfam family "Bacterial small subunit ribosomal RNA", at positions 28 to 507 of the family's 1533-position model. The record is from RNAcentral.